AGGGGGAUGCCAAACAGGCAGAGGGGCUGAAGGAAGGAGCAGAAGAGAACGAUCACGCUAUGGAAAAGCAUGAAGAGGACCUGGGGCAAGGCUGAAGAUGUGAUUGGGCCAGCUGGUGACCUGUUGCUGGCCUCAUGCUUCCACAUGAAGAUGCCAGGCUGCAAAACGGAGAAGAAGGAAGCCCAUGCAGAGAUGGCUUCUGAGUGAGAGCUUAGGAGCAGCUGCCCGGGUGCCCGUAGGCGGUCAGAUUUCUAGAUGCACUUCCUGUUCUUGGGUUCCGCAAGACACCCUCUGGCUCUUUUGCAUACAUUUUAAGCAACUACUUCUGAAGUUGGGAAAUCAGGAGUAGCCGCUGACUCUAAAGAGAAACUAUAUCAAUUUGGAAUGUAUUUGCAUUAUCAGUGAGUUUACUGGAAGUAUUAAAGCUGGACCAUCACUUGGAGAUGUUGUAAGGAAAUGUGAACAUUUGGCGAACAGACCUUUAAAUAAAGAAGGAAGCCAUGGGAGUGGCUGAGAUCUCCCUGAGAGAAAGUGGAGAGAUGUUCAGAGGUAACUUCGUUUAGAAACUUUUAUUUAAAAAUCACAUUUAGAAACUAGAAGGUGUGGGGGGACCCAGUAAAGGAGACAGAAAGGGAUUUACCAGAGAGUUGCGGGAGCUACGAUUGUGGUGUCAAAGAACCAAAGGGAGGAGCAAAUGCAAGAUCUCAACCAAUAAGGAAGUGUAAGCGACGAAGGGCAGGCCUUGGGGUGGGUCGACUCAGCAGCUCCACCAUUUUACUGAGAGCCCAGGUGCUUUCUACCUCUCUGCUCUGCUGUGCUUGGCGUUGGCUUCACCUGAGGGUUGAAGGUUCUUUCCUUGGAUGAGAGAUAACUGAACCACCCCUGUGGACCCAGGAACAGGGUCUGUGUCCCUUGAAGCACGUGACAGCAGAGGACGGGAGGCUCCACCUGAACAUGACCAGGGGUCUCCUGGGGAGGAAAAAUGGAGAUGGAAGCUGCAGAGGAAACGAACAGCUGCCCCCACACAUGCCGUACAAGGCCUGCAUGGGAUGAUGUACGUAGAGCUGCAUUUAAUGUAUACUAAAAAUCACUGGGCCGUGUUGCUAACUUCUGUUAGCAGAGAAUGCAGAAAGGCUGUGGGAGCCUUUCAUUGCCAGCUCUACGUGACCCUUCCCCUUAUGAUCAACACCAGACCAGGGAUUUAACUACAAGGCCCUGCCUUACCCAGCUCUUUUUGUCCCCACUUUGCAAAGUUCCUAAAAUGUACCAGAUUUCUUUCUUCUUCAUGGUCUUAUAUGCUGAUCCCUCUGCGGAAAACAGUCUCUGUAUUUGUUGCCUUUUCUUACGUAGGUUUCACUUCAUGUCAUUCCUUAAAGAGCACUUCCCUGUCCUCCUAAACUGAAUUAGGUGCCCCCUCCCUGGCUUGUGUCCCUAUUGGGAUCUAGUUCCAGAUUGUAAUUAUGUUUCUAUUAUGUUCAUGUGUAGCUCUGUGGUAUGGGGGCCACAUUUGUUCUGCUCACUAGUGAAUCCUCAGAGCCUGGCACAUGGCAAUGCUCAAGACAUUUGAUGAAUGAAUUAGCUAUUUCAUGCACUUCUUCGUCUAACUCUCAUGCCUAUUGUCUUUUUUAAGCAUGUGAGACAUCUUUGGAGGUUAUUGAAUGUAAAGAUUUCUACAAAACAGUACCCAUUCCAAAAGAUUAAUGAUGUUUAAUAAACCUAAAUAAUAAGGAAUGCUUGGAAAGCUCAUAAAGUAACAGCAAUGGAACAGGGAGAUUUUUUAAAUCAUAUUUAAGUAAUUUAUUGCUUUGCAUCAGUUACCCUUACACAGAUAAAGCCAAGACUAGAGCAAAUUGGUGAACUAGUUAGUUCAACACUGUCUUUGCCCCAGCCCCUAUCUCACUAGCUAAUUACAUUAGCAGACAUAUAUCAAAUGUUUCCUCUGUGCUGCCCAUUGUGCUGGACUGUGAGAUUUGGCCCUGAUUUCAGUCCGGAUUCUAGUAGGGCUUCCAGCACCUCCUUCUCCCUUUGGGGCUUCCCUCAAUUCCAUUCAACAAAUAUUUAUUGAACUCAUAGUUGGGUGAAAGAAAUGAUGAAUGAGUAAAUCCGUAGCAAUACUUCAUGUUACUACUCACGAUGAUGGCUGUGAGGUGUUAACAAUAUUUUGAAUCAUGCAAGUUUUCAUUAGGGCCAUUCUAUCUAUUAAGGCAAGAACUGAACAAAUACAUCUAAGAAUGGGUUUCUACUAGAAAGAUUGCAACAAAUAAGUUUUUCUGAUUAGCCCUCAGAUAAUUCAAUUAACUUCUAUUACCAGAACGUUCAAGUCUGCUUUGCUAGCCUAUGAGUUUCCAUACAGGAGGGGCUGAAGGGCUGGCAAUCUGUUAGGAAGGCAAGCUGGAGUUUUGUCUUGAAGUCAUGUUUACACAGCAAGUAUGCUGUUUCUGCUUGGAUUCCAUGGCUAUUUGGCAUAGCUAAAGGUGGCUAUUGGAAAUCAUGGGGAAAUUAAAUCUUUGCCCCCUCUCAAUCAUUUAUUGGCGCUACCACUGAUCCUAGCUAACUGAAGCAUAAUUACAUUUUGUUUGUUUGUCAGACUUUCAGACUGCUCAGGCUUCAAAAUCCACAAGAUUUCAAAAAGAAAAUUUCAAAGGGAGAAAGAAGCCAUAGUCUGCUCUGAUAACUUGUUUAUCAAUUUAUUUUUCAAUUUCCCUGUCCUCUUCUCUCAGAGGGAAACAUGAGUGAGAACCUGACUCGCAACCCCUAUGAGAUAGAGAAUAUUUGCCUUUUUUUUUGGUUGAUUGCUGGGCUUGAAAAGAAAAAAAAAGACAGAAAAUAAAAAAGGUUAGA
Molecule: long non-coding RNA, 2841 nt
Filed under: Homo sapiens (human)
Lineage: Eukaryota; Metazoa; Chordata; Mammalia; Primates; Hominidae
Description: HSALNT0298041
Source: RNAcentral